Molecule: unclassified non-coding RNA, 387 nt
Filed under: uncultured Verrucomicrobiae bacterium
Lineage: Bacteria; Pseudomonadati; Verrucomicrobiota; Verrucomicrobiia
Description: contains 16S-23S intergenic spacer region
Source: RNAcentral
UCCUCGUUUAAGCGAGGCAGUCUGUCCAGAGUGCUCCAGCCUCUCGGCCGGGUGGCAACAGGACACAAGGGUUGCGCUCGUUGCGGGACUUAACCCAACAUCUCACGACACGAGCUGACGACAGCCAUGCAGCACCUGUGUACGCUGGUAUUGCUACCUCGUCAGGCUUUCACCCUUCUACUACGUACAUGUCAAGGCCAGGUAAGGUUCUUCGCGUUGCAUCGAAUUGAACCACAUGCUCCACCGCUUGUGCAGGCCCCCGUCAAUUUCUUUGAGUUUUAAUCUUGCGACCGUACUCCCCAGGCGGCACAUUUAACGCGUUAGCUUCGCCACGAAAGGGGUCGAAUCCUCUCACAGCAAAUGUGCACCGUUUACGGCUAGGACUAC